UACGGAGGGUGCGAGCGUUGUCCGGAAUCACUGGGCGUAAAGGGCGCGUAGGCGGCGCGAGGAGUCGGGGGUGAAAGUCCGGGGCUCAACCCCGGAUCGGCCUUCGAUACUCUCGCGCUGGAGCACAGUAGAGGCGGGUGGAAUUCCGGGUGUAGCGGUGGAAUGCGUAGAGAUCCGGAAGAACACCGGUGGCGAAGGCGGCCCGCUGGGCUGUGGCUGACGCUGAGGCGCGACAGCGUGGGGAGCAAACAGG
RNAcentral lists this ribosomal RNA (253 nucleotides) under uncultured bacterium. RNAcentral describes it as "partial 16S ribosomal RNA". It matches the Rfam family "Bacterial small subunit ribosomal RNA", at positions 524 to 776 of the family's 1533-position model. The record is from RNAcentral. RNAcentral also lists the same sequence under 1 other name.